GAGGCCUGAGUCCCUAAGGAGUUAGGGCAACCAGAGGGGGGAAAGUUGUCUGGAGCACAAACUGUAACCACCAAGGUAGCACGUGGUCCUCUACGGCUUUCAUUGUAGACGACGGGGAGGCCUCCGAUGGGCUGAACCUGGGGGCUGUGGUGAACGACGUAGACACAGGAGUGGUGUUCCUCAUCUAUACCCUCUGUGCUCACAAGGUCAACUGCCAGGUGGCCUCUACCAUGCUGGUUUGGAGUAAGGAUGACGGCGUUUCCUGGAGCCCACCGCGGAAUCUCUCCGUGGAUAUUGGCACAGAGAUGUUUGCCCCUGGACCCGGCUCUGGCAUUCAG
This 338-nucleotide long non-coding RNA is filed under the name Rattus norvegicus (Norway rat). RNAcentral's name for it is "long non-coding RNA NONRATT017106". Lineage: Eukaryota; Metazoa; Chordata; Mammalia; Rodentia; Muridae. The record is from RNAcentral.